GAUGAACGCUAGCUACAGGCUUAACACAUGCAAGUCGAGGGGCAGCGGUAUCGAAAGCUUGCUUUCGGUAGCCGGCGACCGGCGCACGGGUGAGUAACGCGUAUCGAACCUGCCUCAUACUCGGGAAUAGCCUUGCGAAAGUAAGAUUAAUGCCCGGUGUUUUCAGAGUCCCGCAUGAGGCUUUGAACAAAGAUUUAUCGGUAUGAGAUGGCGAUGCGUCCCAUUAGCUUGUUGGCGGGGUAACGGCCCACCAAGGCAUCGAUGGGUAGGGGUUCUGAGAGGAAGGCCCCCCACAUUGGACCUGAGACACGGUCCAAACUCCUACGGGAGGCAGCAGUGAGGAAUAUUGGUCAAUGGGCGGAAGCCUGAACCAGCCAAGUAGCGUGCAGGAAGACGGCCCUCCGGGUUGUAAACUGCUUUUAGUUGGGAAUAAAACGGGGCUCGUGAGCCCCCUUGCAUGUACCAUCAGAAAAAGGACCGGCUAAUUCCGUG
RNAcentral lists this ribosomal RNA (492 nucleotides) under uncultured bacterium. RNAcentral describes it as "partial 16S ribosomal RNA". It matches the Rfam family "Bacterial small subunit ribosomal RNA", at positions 28 to 507 of the family's 1533-position model. The record is from RNAcentral.